This 280-nucleotide ribosomal RNA is filed under the name uncultured bacterium. RNAcentral's name for it is "partial 16S ribosomal RNA". It matches the Rfam family "Bacterial small subunit ribosomal RNA", at positions 71 to 354 of the family's 1533-position model. The record is from RNAcentral.
CGGCCGGCUCCGCCGGCGACCGGCGCACGGGUGAGUAACACGUAUGCAACCUGGCCCGCGGACGGGGACAACCCGGGGAAACCCGGACUAAUACCCGGCGGGGCCUGAGGGGGCAUCCCUCCCGGCUGAAGGAGGCGACUCCGCCGCGGGAUGGGCAUGCGGCGCAUUAGCUUGUUGGCGGGGCAACGGCCCACCAAGGCGACGAUGCGUAGGGGUUCUGAGAGGAAGGUCCCCCACACUGGAACUGAGACACGGUCCAGACUCCUACGGAAGGCAGCAG